This 134-nucleotide microRNA precursor is filed under the name Brassica napus (rape). RNAcentral's name for it is "MIR9563 microRNA precursor family". It matches the Rfam family "MIR9563 microRNA precursor family". Lineage: Eukaryota; Viridiplantae; Streptophyta; Magnoliopsida; Brassicales; Brassicaceae. The record is from Rfam by way of RNAcentral.
GGAAUAUAAAACCCCGUCUCUUAAUUUUUAACUAAAAAAGUUAAGAACUAGUUCUUAAAUUCUUAAAACUCUUAUUUAAGAACCGGUUUUUAACUUUUUUUAGUUAAAAGUUAAGAGACAGAUUCUUAUAUUUC